CCUACGGGAGGCAGCAGUGGGGGAUAUUGCACAAUGGGGGAAACCCUGAUGCAGCGACGCCGCGUGAGUGAAGAAGUAUUUCGGUAUGUAAAGCUCUAUCAGCAGGGAAGAAGAUGACAGUACCUGAGUAAGAAGCCCCGGCUAACUACGUGCCAGCAGCCGCGGUAAUACGUAGGGGGCAAGCGUUAUCCGGAUUUACUGGGUGUAAAGGGAGCACAGGCGGCACGGCAAGCCUGAUGUGAAAGCCCGCGGCCCAACCGCGGGACUGCAUUGGGAACUACCGGGCUGGAGUGCCGGAGAGGUAG
This 305-nucleotide ribosomal RNA is filed under the name uncultured bacterium. Its description in RNAcentral is "bacterial SSU rRNA". It matches the Rfam family "Bacterial small subunit ribosomal RNA", at positions 338 to 660 of the family's 1533-position model. The record is from RNAcentral.